This is a long non-coding RNA of Beta vulgaris subsp. vulgaris (sugar beet), 1767 nucleotides long. RefSeq lists it as uncharacterized. The record is from RefSeq and is a predicted model, not a curated record. NCBI's taxonomy places the organism in Eukaryota, Viridiplantae, Streptophyta, Magnoliopsida, Caryophyllales, Amaranthaceae. The transcript has 3 exons.
GGAUAUAGGUGUUGGGGGGUUUGCAAAUUCCCGCCUAUCUUCGAUGCUUAAAAGCGUCGUCAAGAUGCUUCGUUGCUUUUAGGCGUCGUUCAGGACACGUGUAGUGCACGUGUUAUAUUAAAUAGCGCAUCACCUUAGGAAUGCUAUACAAGAAGCAAAACCGCCUACUCUAACUUCCCACUUCAGUACUCCACGCACACACGAACCCUAAUUCUUCACAAUUCAAUCUCAGUCUCAAAUCUAGCAUAAAAUCGAACGUUUUUCGUUGUUAUAUGGCUUCAAUCAGCAUCUAAUUUCCACAAAUGGCGUCAAAAUUGAGCUCAGAACCGAAUUCGGAACCGAUUUUGGUAAUUUGAAGUUUAAUCGUCCAAGAAAUUAUCGUGGAAAACUGUUGUUGAUUGCUUGUAGUACCGAUUCUAGCGUUUCAACUGGUCGCAGUGAAUAAAAUGGGUUGAAUAUGAAGAAAUCUUUCCAGAAAUUUCAAGAAAUCGUUGCUUCUCUUCCUCCUGUUAUUCUCGCGUUUAAAAUAGGGCUUUGCCAGCUUUCUGUGAUAGCGGAUAAAGCAAGGAACAUUGAUCAUGCUAGAAAGGCUAUUGAGGAUGCUGCUCAAAAGGGUGCCAAGCUAGUUGUUUUGCCUUUCAGACCGAUGUCUUAUUUACCUAUCUGGUAAAAGAAUUAUGAACUUGAUAUGCCCUUCGAAGUUGUAAGUUCUAAGUUAAUUAUGAAUUCUUUUGGUCAUUUUCUACUGUUAUAUCUUUUACACUUCUGAUGGGCCGUCAAUAUUUCUAGGUAGUAAGGCUAAUUGCUAGUGGUUGCAAUGGCUUAUUGUCUUGUAGAACAGAUAUGUAUCUUGCUGGAGUGGUUAACCCAUUUCUCUAAGCUGUUGCUAGACAAUAGCUUGAAAUUGGUAAUGGAAGAGAUUAUCAAGGUUAUAAGUUGCUGCUAUAACAAGUUCUCCUUGUUUGUUUCUAAUAAUGCAUCCUGCCCCUCCUUUUUGAAGCUGAUUAAUGUCAGACCCAUCAAAGUAAGUGUAUAAUGAUUUCUAGAGUAAAGAACAAUUGUAAAAGGGAACUGGAGAGAUUUCUGAGAAAGAUACAGAUUAGUUAACGAGGAAAUAGUGGGAUUGGUAGUUUCUUUAGCAUUUGAUAUUUCCUUGUUUUCUUUAAUAAUUAUGUUCUAUCAUAGGAGGAGGCAAGCAACAGCUAACCUUCCAAUUAAGUUUUCAUAGGAGGAGGCUUCUUCAAGGAAACAAAUCCUAUAUCACCUGGCCUAACUACCCUGCAGCAUUCAUAUAAAAUCUAAAACAUUAUAGACAUAAGACUAUUACAGAAACUCAGCAAUCAAGAAUAGUGACAAUAAGCCUUAGAGUCACUUCCCAAGUGGAAGCAAUUUGAAAGAAAUAAAUACCAACCAAACAGACCUUUUUCUAUAACAUUAACACCUAAUAGAUAAUGAAAUCAACAAAGGAUGAACUUCAUUCAGUACCAACGCCACUGCAAAAUUAGAAUUAACCUAUAAAUAGCUAAGUGUAAUCUGCUCUUGAAAGAUUUUCUAGAAGCAAAAUGACAUUGCUCUAUUAGCACAAGUUGUCUGUCUAUUAAAUUACAGGACAUUGGGAACUAUAUUGACUUGAUGCUUUUGGCUUUAGUAUUUGUUAUCAGGUCACUGGCAUUCUAGUGUGUCUGUUUUGCUGUCUUAAUUGUAUGGCCUCCCAUAUGCAUAUUACCUACUGCUUGAUCCAUCAGUCAAAUAUGAUAACAUAUUUUU